GGGGCGGGGAGAUCCCCUUGAACAGGGUUACGCUGCUACUUCCGUUAAGGCCGGGGCAAGUGGAGGCGGCGCUGUGCAUUGUGGGUGGCGAGAGGCUGAUUUGGAUUCCCUCUCACGGCCACCAUUGGUGGUUCGCGAGCUUCUGAAGUGGCGGCUCGCUGGCUGGGCCUCCUCUACGUCGACUCAGCCAGAAGAAUGUGGUGCAGGUUCAGGAGUUUACUGGCUGCACUCCGACCUUUGGCCUUGGCUGUCGCCCAAGUGGGAUUGUCGCACAGCAGUCAAACCCAUAGCAUCAGUAUCUGUCCCAUGACCUCCUCCUGCACCUAGCCUGGCACAGCAGUCAACCCAUGACACCUGGCUCUGUCUCGUGACCUCCUGCACAUAGCCUGGCACAGCAGUCAACCCAUGGCACCUGGGUUGUUGUGAUAUCACCAUUAUGUAGUGGAAAAUUACGGCUGUUGUCGUUGUGAGUUUAUAGGUUUGUGUGAGUAAUGGUGCGUGUGUGACUUUAAUGACGUGUGUGAGAGUAGGAUGGUAGGGGUGUGUGAGUGUCAUGGUGAGUGUGGGUGUGUGAGUAUUAUGGUGAGUGUGGGUGUGUGAGUAUUAUGGUGAGUGUGUGGGUGUGUUAGAUGGCUGGCAAUGUUGGUGGGUGGUGAUGAUGAUGCAAGCCUUGUGCUCGAGAAUGGCACACUGAAACUAAUAUCAUGUAGCUACUUCUGAGUACCCUUCAAGUGCUGUCUGGUCCACAUUGUAAAGGGCAGGACUUUCCCACCUGCUCUUUAUUUAAGAGCAACGUUGGUCACAACAAUGUUAUUACUUCUUACAGCUGGAAUUUAUCCUAAGUACAUGGAGAACCACAUUGCAGCCAUGUGAUAGUUGAUGUUGUGCAGUGAAUGAUGACCGGGCUGAGACCAUUAACUCGCUCGACUUGAGAAUCUGCUUUGAUCACAGGUGACUGCCUGGAUUCAAUCCCAGGUACUCCGUGGUGCCAAUUCAGUGCUAUGACCGCAAGGUCCAUGGGCCACCUCUAAACACCCCCACGUUAAAGACAUAAGCAGCAACCUGUUUAGUGAGCAGCAGCAUUCUUUAAAUAUUUUUCCAAAGCAAUUGGGAUUGUGGAGCAGUGGCACAGUCCUGCAUUUUCUUUCUCUUUAAUCCACCAAAUGCAACUUGCCGCUCGAUUGUGGCGCACCCA
This is a long non-coding RNA of Lethenteron reissneri (Far Eastern brook lamprey), 1195 nucleotides long. RefSeq lists it as uncharacterized. The record is from RefSeq and is a predicted model, not a curated record. NCBI's taxonomy places the organism in Eukaryota, Metazoa, Chordata, Hyperoartia, Petromyzontiformes, Petromyzontidae.